GACGAACGCUGGCGGCAUGCCUAAUUCAUGCAAGUCUAUCGAACUUUUUUAGACACUUGCUUCUAUUAAUGUUCUCCCCGGAUGGGUUAACCACACGUCAUCAACCUGCCCUCCAGUUGGGCAUCACCCCCGGACACCCGGGCUAAUAUCGGCUAAUCUGCAUCUCCUCAUGGACAAACCCUUAACGCCGGCUUCGGCUCCCAAUCCAGGAUCCGCCCGCGGCCCAUUAGCCAGUUGAUGGGAUAACGGCCUACCAAGGCAACGAUGCGUAGCCGACCUGAGAGGGUGAUCGGCCACACUGGGACUGAGACACGGCCCAGACUCCUACGGGAGGCAGCAGUAGGGAAUCUGCCACAAUGGACGGAAGUCUGAUGGGGCAAUGCGGCGUGAGGGAAGAAGGUUUUCGGAUCGUAAAGCUCUGUUGUGAGGGAAGAACAAGUACGGGAGUGACUGCCCGUACCUUGACGGUACCUCAUUAGAAAGCUAGGGCUAACUACGUG
RNAcentral lists this ribosomal RNA (500 nucleotides) under uncultured bacterium. RNAcentral's name for it is "partial 16S ribosomal RNA". It matches the Rfam family "Bacterial small subunit ribosomal RNA", at positions 28 to 507 of the family's 1533-position model. The record is from RNAcentral.